GACGAACGCUGGCGGCGUGCUUAACACAUGCAAGUCGAACGAUGAAGCGGGUGCUUGCACUCGUGGAUUAGUGGCGAACGGGCGAGUAACACGUGAGUAACCUGUCCUUUUCUUUGGGAUAACGGCUGGAAACGGCUGCUAAUACUGGAUAUUCAGGCUGCAUCGCAUGGUGUGGUUUGGAAAGGUUUUUUCUGGGAUUGGGUGGGCUCGCGGCCUAUCAGCUUGUUGGUGGGGUGAUGGCUUACCAAGGCUUUGACGGGUAGCCGGCCUGAGAGGGUGGUCGGUCGCACUGGGACUGAGAUACGGCCCAGACUCCUGCGGGAGGCAGCAGUGGGGAAUAUUGCACAAUGGACGAAAGUUUGAUGCAGCGACGCCGCGUGGAGGGUGUAGGCCUUCGGGUUGUGAACUCCUUUUUCUCGCGAAAAAGGCACAGUUUUGGCUGUGUUGAUGGUAGUGGGGGAAGAAGCGCCGGCUAACUACGUG
RNAcentral lists this ribosomal RNA (483 nucleotides) under uncultured bacterium. Its description in RNAcentral is "partial 16S ribosomal RNA". It matches the Rfam family "Bacterial small subunit ribosomal RNA", at positions 28 to 507 of the family's 1533-position model. The record is from RNAcentral.